CCCAGGGUCGAGUAGAUGUGCCUUCAUUGGACAUUCCCCACCUCCGCCGAUGGAUUUUCCUAGAGUUUUGAUGUUAUGCUGUUGUGCAAUAAGAUAUUGAUAUAUCACACAAGAAUAAUUCUGUUUCAGGUAAUCGUUUAUCAAAUUGUUUGGUUGUGUCCUUUACCUUUGUACCAUGUCUCUAGUCCAUCCCAAAUUUCCAUUAUAGAUGCUUCUAUUGGAAGUGUGUGUGAAAAAAAAAAAAUUAAUGAUCCUUUGGUUACUUCAUUGUGUUUUUUUACUUUUGUAUUUUGAAAUGAAAUUUGUUUGCCUGACCUAGGUAGUCCUCUUUGGAAGUAAUUCUUUGAAUCUAAUGCUGAAAGAGUUAGAAAGUUUGAAAUAUUUGCAGCUUAUUGGAACUGACCAACAACAUCCAGACAAUACUGUAGGCGCUGAAAAACUCAGAAGUUGUGGAGAUUAAGGUAUAUAAUAAGAUGAGC
RNAcentral lists this long non-coding RNA (479 nucleotides) under Brassica rapa (field mustard). Its description in RNAcentral is "long non-coding RNA (BRAP_LNC001525)". The record is from RNAcentral. Lineage: Eukaryota; Viridiplantae; Streptophyta; Magnoliopsida; Brassicales; Brassicaceae.